Molecule: microRNA precursor, 77 nt
Filed under: Vicugna pacos (alpaca)
Lineage: Eukaryota; Metazoa; Chordata; Mammalia; Artiodactyla; Camelidae
Description: miRNA (ENSVPAG00000017771.1)
Source: RNAcentral
GAAGCCCCACUGCCCUGGUUUGCCUGGAACUGAGGCGGCUACUGAGACGUGGAACUCAGUGAUAAAACAAGGAGGGU